UUGGAGGGCAAGUCUGGUGCCAGCAGCCGCGGUAAUUCCAGCUCCAAUAGCGUAUAUUAAAGUUGUUGCAGUUAAAAAGCUCGUAGUUGAAUUUCGGGAUCAAUGUUUCGGUCAUGCCGUUGGUAUGUACUGAUAUUAUUGAUUUCUCACCUUCUAAAGAACCGUAAUGCCAUUAAUUUGGUGUCACGGGGAAUUAGGACUGUUACCUUGAAAAAAUUAGAGUGUUUAAAGCAGGCUCACGCUUGAAUACAUUAGCAUGGAAUAAUGAAAUAGGACAUCCGAUUCUAUUUUGUUGGUUUCUAGGAUCGAUGUAAUGAUUAAUAGGGAUAGUUGGGGCAUUAGUAUUCAAUUGUCAGAGGUGAAAUUCUUGGAUUUAUUGAAGACUAACUACUGCGAAAGCAUUUGCCAAGGAUGUUUUCAUUAAUCAAGAACGAAAGUUAGGGGAUCGAAGACGAUCAGAUACCGUCGUAGUCUUAACCAUAAACUAUGCCGACUAGGGAUCGGAUGAUGUUAAUUUUUUAAUGACUCAUUCGGCGCCUUACGGGAAAC
RNAcentral lists this ribosomal RNA (549 nucleotides) under uncultured Glomeromycotina. RNAcentral's name for it is "SSU rRNA". It matches the Rfam family "Eukaryotic small subunit ribosomal RNA", at positions 548 to 1098 of the family's 1831-position model. The record is from RNAcentral. Lineage: Eukaryota; Fungi; Glomeromycota.